GCCCCUGUAGCUCAGAGGAUAGAGCGUCGGCCUCCGAAGCCGGAAGCCCAGGUUCGAGUCCUGGCAGGGGCA
This 72-nucleotide transfer RNA is filed under the name Chloroflexota bacterium. Its description in RNAcentral is "Chloroflexi bacterium (wastewater metagenome) tRNA-Arg". It matches the Rfam family "tRNA". Rfam says of the family: Transfer RNA (tRNA) molecules are approximately 80 nucleotides in length. Their secondary structure includes four short double-helical elements and three loops (D, anti-codon, and T loops). The record is from RNAcentral. RNAcentral also lists the same sequence under 6 other names. Lineage: Bacteria; Bacillati; Chloroflexota.